GAGGGGUGCGCGUCUCUGGUUCUUACCUUGGUAUAAAAACCCUGGGACGGUGGGGGUUUCCUCUGAUCACGCUGAACCUCUCGCUUGCUCCCCCCCUCACAGUGUUCUCAUUCUAACUUGCUUUCGUCAGUUUUUGACACUCCGCUGAAAAAAUUUGACAAAACAAAAACCAAUGCACAAACACUGCCUGUGUUGACCUUUUAUACCAAAACCUUUUUUUACACGCUAACAACUUCCUAAGUUUUUUGUAGUCUUUCUUUCAUUUCUUUGUUUUGGAGGAAAUGUUUUCACCGACUGCUGGACGACAUAUCGAGAAACUGACUGAGUGGAAUAUGGGGGCAAAAGGACAAGAAAGACAGGAAAGAGUAAGAGAUAAUUGAUUUUACUCUUAAAAGCUUCCCAUUCUACUGCUCCUUUUUACCUACCUCUCUUUCUGUUUUCUUUUUUCUUUUUCUUUUUUCCCCUCCUUUUAUCCAUCCAAACUUUGCACCUCCCUUCUUUACCUCCCACUAUGCUUUUUCCUUUCCGGCGCUGUUUCCUUCCUCUUUCCAUCACCCGUCCCUUCCUUCUAUUUGUUCUUUUACUUCCUUUCAUUAUUCCAUACAUCUCAUCUUCUUCCCCAACCUCCUUUUUUUAUGUCUGUCUUUAAUUUACUUGCCUUUUCUUCGCUUCCUUCCCACUCCUCCUUCAUUCCCUCUAUUUAAUUUUAUUAUUUAAUCUGCAUUAUUUUUCCUGUUCUCCUCACCCACUGUCUCUCUUUCCUCACUCUUUCAUUCUCUCAACCCCUCCCUCCCUCCGUCCCUCUUCCCGAUUUGUCCUUCAGCUCUGUCAGCACUCACUAUCUCGCUCCAUCUCCUUCUCUGGCAGUCUGAUCAGCUGUCUUCCUUCUAACUUUACAUGGCCUGGUGUGGUGCGGAGGGACGGGCAGCUGCCGGCUGACGCAUUUCACUGCCCAGUCAUCACUUCAAAUCGAAUCCUCUUACACAAACCUCUGUGCUUUUUUUAUUGGGCACUAUUUUUGCUCUCUUUUCUACCUGCACGGGGUCCUAUGGUUUUUUUUUUUUUUCUUUCUUGGUCUGCCUGUUUUUUUCCCCCUCCUCCUUUUUCACCCCAUCCAGCAAGAGAGAGAGAGGCAAGGCAAGUCCCGUGACCCUCUUCUUUUCUCUCCUCUCCUCUCUUUUCACUCCUCCUCCUCCUCUUCUCCUCUGCUCCUCUCCGCAACCUUAAACUCUCCAUCGCUGAUUCAGCUCCCAGGGAGGAGAGACUCCGCCUGCAGCGACCGCUUCACUCCGCAUGGGCCACCAUCCCUAUCUGGAUCACCUUUACUACGGUCCCAGAUUUGUCUGUUCACUUCUUCCUCCUCCUUCUCCACUCUGUCAUCUUUCAGACCAGACUCGCCCCUAAAAUGCUUUGCUAAAGCUGGUAAAAUGGAACCAAAUCAACUGUUCAAUGGAUUUGGUCCCCUUCAACCAGCUGUAGCUGUGCAUUGAUCACUCCGAACACGCACAUGCAGAUGGACAAACAAAUGGACAGGAAAGCGGUGGAAAGACUCAAGCUAAUUCUGUGGAAAACAACUUUAAAAUCUAAAAUUGAAGCUACAUUAGCUUCUUCACAGAAAAAUUGGACUGAGACAUGCACCAGUUACUGUGUGGAUUUAUCUCUAUCACACAGAUUACCCAAAAGACAUUGAAGUCAUUUGCUAAAUCUGAAUAAAACAAGCCAGGUAAGUAAUUAUAGAUACUGUAUCUUGGUGAAUUUGUAUUUUUGUCUGGUACCGCCAUAAUUGCAUUGUUCUUUGGAGACUUUUUAAUUCUUGCUUGAUUUUUCGAAGUGUGUGUUUGGUAUACGAAUUGCUCUGGUGUGUGUGUGUGUGCAAAAGUGUGGUAUGGUUGAAGAGCUAUCAAGUGUAAGAACAGGUGCUGUGUAAGAAAAGCACUAGUGCGUAUCUGUGUGCGCAUGUAUGUAUGUGAGUGUCUUUGACUCCUAAUGCACAUGUCUGAUCAAUAAAGCCUCAUCCUGAAGUUCAUAUAAACUGC
Siniperca chuatsi (mandarin fish) is the source of this 2036-nucleotide long non-coding RNA. RefSeq lists it as uncharacterized. NCBI's taxonomy places the organism in Eukaryota, Metazoa, Chordata, Actinopteri, Centrarchiformes, Sinipercidae. The record is from RefSeq and is a predicted model, not a curated record. The transcript has 2 exons.